AGUGAACGCUGGCGGUAGGCCUAACACAUGCAAGUCGAACGGCAGCACAGUAAGAGCUUGCUCUUACGGGUGGCGAGUGGCGGACGGGUGAGGAAUACAUCGGAAUCUACUUUUUCGUGGGGGAUAACGUAGGGAAACUUACGCUAAUACCGCAUACGACCUACGGGUGAAAGCAGGGGAUCUUCGGACCUUGCGCGAUUGAAUGAGCCGAUGUCGGAUUAGCUAGUUGGCGGGGUAAAGGCCCACCAAGGCGACGAUCCGUAGCUGGUCUGAGAGGAUGAUCAGCCACACUGGAACUGAGACACGGUCCAGGCUACUACGGGAGGCAGCAGUGGGGAAUAGUGGACAAUGGGCGCAAGCCUGAUCCAGCCAGACCGCGUGGGUGAAGAAGGCCUUCGGGUUGUAAAGCCCUUUUGUUGGGAAAGAAAAGCAGCAGGUUAAUACCCCGCUGUUCUGACGGUACCCAAAGAAGAAGCACCGGCUAACUUCGUG
RNAcentral lists this ribosomal RNA (492 nucleotides) under uncultured bacterium. Its description in RNAcentral is "partial 16S ribosomal RNA". It matches the Rfam family "Bacterial small subunit ribosomal RNA", at positions 29 to 507 of the family's 1533-position model. The record is from RNAcentral.